UCGAUGGUAGGAUAGAGGCCUACCAUGGUGGUAACGGGUAACGGGGUGUUAGGGCACGACACCGGAGAGGGAGCCUGAGAAACGGCUACCACAUCCAAGGAUGGCAGCAGGCGCGCAAAUUACCCAAUCCCGACACGGGGAGGUAGUGACAAUAAAUAACAAUACGGGGUUCUUUAGGAUCUCGUAAUUGGAAUGAGUACAAUUUAAAUCUCUUAACGAGGAACAAUUGGAGGGCAAGUCUGGUGCCAGCAGCCGCGGUAAUUCCAGCUCCAAUAGCGUAUAUUAAAGUUGUUGCAGUUAAAAAGCUCGUAGUUGAAUUUCGGGGUUAGUAGGUCGGUCAUGCCUCUGGUAUGUACUGGUCUCACUGAUUCCUCCUUCCUGAUGAACCGUAAUGCCAUUAAUUUGGUGUUGCGGGGAAUUUGGACUGUUACUUUGAAAAAAUUAGAGUGUUUAAAGCAAGCUAACGCUUGAAUACAUUAGCAUGGAAUAAUGAAAUAGGACAUCCGAUUCUAUUUUGUUGGUUUCUACGAUCGAUGUAAUGAUUAAUAGGGAUAGUUGGGGGCAUUAGUAUUCAAUUGUCAGAGGUGAAAUUCUUGGAUUUAUUGAAGACUAACUACUGCGAAAGCAUUUGCCAAGGAUGUUUUCAUUAAUCAAGAACGAAAGUUAGGGGAUCGAAGACGAUCAGAUACCGUCGUAGUCUUAACCAUAAACUAUGCCGACUAGGGAUCGGAUGAUGUUAUUUUUAAUGACUCAUUCGGCGCCCUUACGGGAAACCAAAGUGUUUGGGUUC
This 790-nucleotide ribosomal RNA is filed under the name uncultured Glomus. RNAcentral's name for it is "SSU rRNA". It matches the Rfam family "Eukaryotic small subunit ribosomal RNA", at positions 322 to 1114 of the family's 1831-position model. The record is from RNAcentral. Lineage: Eukaryota; Fungi; Glomeromycota; Glomeromycetes; Glomerales; Glomeraceae.